CAUUCCUUUGGUGUGGGAUCUGGGUUAGAGGGUGUUUUCACACUUGUAUUUUGUUUGCUUUGGUUUUAAUCAGUUGGUGAGUUAGUAAACUUGGAGCAAUUUGCCCAUGGUUGGUUUGGUUUGGUU
Molecule: long non-coding RNA, 126 nt
Organism: Etheostoma spectabile (orangethroat darter)
Lineage: Eukaryota; Metazoa; Chordata; Actinopteri; Perciformes; Percidae
Exons: 5
Source: RefSeq, a predicted model, not a curated record